CAGCCGCCGCGGUAAUACGAAGGGUGCAAGCGUUACUCGGAAUUACUGGGCGUAAAGCGUGCGUAGGUGGUCGUUUAAGUCCGUUGUGAAAGCCCUGGGCUCAACCUGGGAACUGCAGUGGAUACUGGGCGACUAGAAUGUGGUAGAGGGUAGCGGAAUUCCUGGUGUAGCAGUGAAAUGCGUAGAGAUCAGGAGGAACAUCCAUGGCGAAGGCAGCUACCUGGACCAACAUUGACACUGAGGCACGAAAGCGUGGGGAGCAAACAGGAUUAGAUACCCUGGUAGUCCACGCCCUAAACGAUGCGAACUGGAUGUUGGGUGCAAUUUGGCACGCAGUAUCGAAGCUAACGCGUUAAGUUCGCCGCCUGGGGAGUACGGCCGCAAGGUUGAAACUUAAAGGAAUUGGCGGG
RNAcentral lists this ribosomal RNA (410 nucleotides) under uncultured microorganism. RNAcentral describes it as "bacterial SSU rRNA". It matches the Rfam family "Bacterial small subunit ribosomal RNA", at positions 509 to 917 of the family's 1533-position model. The record is from RNAcentral.